UGAGGAAUAUUGGUCAAUGGACGCAAGUCUGAACCAGCCAAGUAGCGUGCAGGAUGACGGCCCUAUGGGUUGUAAACUGCUUUUAUAUGGGGAUAAAGCGGGGAACGUGUUCCCUUUUGCAGGUACCAUAUGAAUAAGGACCGGCUAAUUCCGUGCCAGCAGCCGCGGUAAUACGGAAGGUUCGGGCGUUAUCCGGAUUUAUUGGGUUUAAAGGGAGCGUAGGCCGUUUGGUAAGCGUGUUGUGAAAUGUAGGAGCUCAACUUCUAGAUUGCAGCGCGAACUGUCAGACUUGAGUGCGCACAACGUAGGCGGAAUUCAUGGUGUAGCGGUGAAAUGCUUAGAUAUCAUGAAGAACUCCGAUUGCGAAGGCAGCUUACGGGAGCGCAACUGACGCUGAAGCUCGAAGGUGCGGGUAUCGAACAGG
This 424-nucleotide ribosomal RNA is filed under the name Verrucomicrobiota bacterium. RNAcentral describes it as "Verrucomicrobia bacterium partial 16S ribosomal RNA". It matches the Rfam family "Bacterial small subunit ribosomal RNA", at positions 355 to 776 of the family's 1533-position model. The record is from RNAcentral. Lineage: Bacteria; Pseudomonadati; Verrucomicrobiota.